UCGCCCAAUCGGAAUGAAGGGAGGGCGGGAUCAGUGAAAACCACGUGAUCAUCCACGAGUGCGGUGCAGAGUCGCUGAGAUAACCGGAACUGCAGAUGCUGGAGAAUCCGAGAUAACACGGUGUGCAGCUGGAUGUACACAGCAGGUCAAGCAGCAUCAGAGGAGCAGGAAAGCUGACGUUUCGGGCCUAGAUCCUUCGCUGAGACCAAGAUUUGUGCAAUUGAGAUACCAGCGAUCGUUGCCAAAGCCCUGUUACCUGUGGAGAAGGUGAUGUUUAACUUUCGUGUGCUGCUGCAGUUUGUAUGAUAAAGGAUAUUACAAGUGGACUUUCAGGUAGGAAGCUCAAUUGUAACACCAAACUCUGACAGAAUUACUCAAUUCAUCAGGACCUGGAUAUUCCCAUUGUGUAUUUCCACAAUUUUACUUCUGCACUAUUCUUAGUCUUUCAGAGGGAUCGAAAGGUUGAGUUACAGAUCUAUACAAUGACUGUCCUUCCUCGCUGGCUCCCCCACCUCUCUCUUUUGGUAGUUUUAUGCAAACACUGACUGGAUCCCUUACCUGGAGGAUAUUUAUGAAUGAAUUUGUUCUAAUGGUGAUCCAGCAUUUUCCCCAAGUAUCGCUCCACACAUGCCCAGAGAAUUUCUCAGUUUCACAAUCUGUGUCCUUCUGGUUUCUUACUCGCUACGCUUAACUUUCUGUUUGAAAGUAUAGUCUGCAGUUGGAGAAUUUAAACAGGUCCACAUCCAGGUCUGACAGUCACUUUGUUUAUCACAACCCAAUUAUCUCAGGAUUUUGAACAAUGAAGGAAAAAGCAGCACUCACAUUGGGGAGAAAUGCACAUGGUGUGUGUGUUGAAGAGUCUGUGAAGAUUCAUCUGAAAUGUCCGAACACCAGUGCAGUGACACUGGGAGACAGUGUGGAAAUGUGCAGAUUGCAGGAAGGAAUUUCUUCAUCCAUCCCAGCUAGAAACUGACCACCAGAGUCACACUGGAGAGAGACCAUUGACCUGUUCUGCAUGAGGGAAAGGCUUUGCUGAUUCGAAUUCCCCGCUGAUACAUCAGCGAGUUCACUCUGGGGAGAGACCUUUCAUGAGCUCUGAGUGUGGGAAGGGAUUCAUUGUCAUCCAAACUGUUAACACACCAGUGAGUUCACAGACAACCACAGUUGAAGAACUUUGCUGUCACUCUCACUAUCAAAUGAACCAUGGUUUUGGGCUGUUUGUACAGAUGUUACCGAUCCCUGCUCAAUUAAAGGUGCUGGUAUUGUGAAUAAAAUGUCACACUAA
Long non-coding RNA from Stegostoma tigrinum, 1285 nucleotides. RefSeq lists it as uncharacterized. The transcript is spliced from 4 exons. Lineage: Eukaryota; Metazoa; Chordata; Chondrichthyes; Orectolobiformes; Stegostomatidae. The record is from RefSeq and is a predicted model, not a curated record.